Molecule: ribosomal RNA, 587 nt
Filed under: uncultured bacterium
Lineage: Bacteria
Description: bacterial SSU rRNA
Rfam family: Bacterial small subunit ribosomal RNA
Source: RNAcentral
CCUACGGGAGGCAGCAGUAGGGAAUCUUCCGCAAUGGACGAAAGUCUGACGGAGCAACGCCGCGUGAGCGAAGAAGGCCUUCGGGUCGUAAAGCUCUGUUGUUAGGGAAGAACAAGUAACGCAGUAACUGGCGUUACCGUGACGGUACCUAACGAGAAAGCCACGGCUAACUACGUGCCAGCAGCCGCGGUAAUACGUAGGUGGCAAGCGUUGUCCGGAAUUAUUGGGCGUAAAGCGCGCGCAGGCGGUUCCUUAAGUCUGAUGUGAAAGCCCACGGCUCAACCGUGGAGGGUCAUUGGAAACUGGGGGACUUGAGUGCAGAAGAGGAGAGCGGAAUUCCACGUGUAGCGGUGAAAUGCGUAGAGAUGUGGAGGAACACCAGUGGCGAAGGCGGCUCUCUGGUCUGUAACUGACGCUGAGGCGCGAAAGCGUGGGGAGCAAACAGGAUUAGAUACCCUGGUAGUCCACGCCGUAAACGAUGAGUGCUAAGUGUUAGAGGGUAUCCGCCCUUUAGUGCUGUAGCUAACGCAUUUAGCACUCCGCCUGGGGAGUACGCUCGCAAGAGUGAAACUCAAAGGAAUUGACGG